Molecule: ribosomal RNA, 944 nt
Filed under: uncultured Lentimicrobium sp.
Lineage: Bacteria; Pseudomonadati; Bacteroidota; Bacteroidia; Bacteroidales; Lentimicrobiaceae
Description: bacterial SSU rRNA
Rfam family: Bacterial small subunit ribosomal RNA
Source: RNAcentral
GUUUGAUCCUGGCUCAGGAUGAACGCUAGCGGCAGGCUUAAUACAUGCAAGUCGAACGGGAUUCGGGGUAGCAAUACUUUGAUGAGAGUGGCGCACGGGUGCGUAACGCGUAUGCAACCUACCUUUAACAGGGGAAUAGCCCCGAGAAAUCGGGAUUAAUACUCCGUAACAUUGCGGUGUGGCAUCACACUGCAAUUAAAGAUUUAUCGGUUAAAGAUGGGCAUGCGUGACAUUAGCUAGUUGGUGAGGUAACGGCUCACCAAGGCAACGAUGUCUAGGGGUCCUGAGAGGGUUAUCCCCCACACUGGUACUGAGACACGGACCAGACUCCUACGGGAGGCAGCAGUAAGGAAUAUUGGUCAAUGGGCGCAAGCCUGAACCAGCCAUGCCGCGUGCAGGAAGACGGCCCUAUGGGUUGUAAACUGCUUUUAUCAGGGAAUAAACCCCCGCUCGUGAGCGGGGCUGAAGGUACCUGAAGAAUAAGCAUCGGCUAACUCCGUGCCAGCAGCCGCGGUAAUACGGAGGAUGCAAGCGUUAUCCGGAUUCAUUGGGUUUAAAGGGUGCGCAGGCGGAUUGGUAAGUCAGGGGUGAAAUCCCACAGCUCAACUGUGGAACUGCCUUUGAUACUGUCAGUCUAGAGUAUAGUUGAAGUUGGCGGAAUGUGUCAUGUAGCGGUGAAAUGCUUAGAUAUGACACAGAACACCGAUCGCGAAGGCAGCUAGCUAAGCUAUAACUGACGCUCAUGCACGAAAGCGUGGGGAUCAAACAGGAUUAGAUACCCUGGUAGUCCACGCUGUAAACGAUGAUUACUCGAUGUUGGCGAUACACAGUCAGCGUCUGAGCGAAAGCAAUAAGUAAUCCACCUGGGGAGUACGAUCGCAAGAUUGAAACUCAAGGAAUUGACGGGGGCCCGCACAAGCGGAGGAGCAUGUGGUUUAAUUCGA